This 282-nucleotide long non-coding RNA is filed under the name Homo sapiens (human). RNAcentral describes it as "non-protein coding lnc-ECI2-5:1". Lineage: Eukaryota; Metazoa; Chordata; Mammalia; Primates; Hominidae. The record is from RNAcentral.
CCUGGCCAACAUGGUGAAACCCCAUCUCUACUAAAAAUAUAAAAAUUAGCUGGGCGUAGUGGUGCUCGCCUGUAAUCCCAGCUGCUCGGGAGGCUGAGGCAGGAGAAUCGCUUGAACCCGGGAGGCGGAGGUUGCAGUGAACCGAGAUCGCGCCACUGCACUCCAGUCUGGGCAACAGAGCGAGACUCUGUCUCAAAAAAAAAAAAAAAAAAAAAAGUGAUUCUUUCCAGAUAGCCAUACCUUAAUCCAGUGACUGUUUUGCUUGUUACCUUAGAGUUCUCU